RNAcentral lists this unclassified non-coding RNA (257 nucleotides) under uncultured fungus. Its description in RNAcentral is "sequence contains ITS2". The stretch from base 1 to 52 matches the Rfam family "5.8S ribosomal RNA", at positions 103 to 154 of the family's 154-position model. The record is from RNAcentral. Lineage: Eukaryota; Fungi.
AACGCACAUUGCGCCCGCCAGUAUUCUGGCGGGCAUGCCUGUUCGAGCGUCAUUUCAACCCUCAAGCCCCCGGGCUUGGUGUUGGAGAUCGGCGUGCCCUCCGGGGCGCGCCGGCUCCCAAAUAUAGUGGCGGUCUCGCUGUAGCUUCCUCUGCGUAGUAGCACACCUCGCACUGGGAAACAGCCUGGCCACGCCGUUAAACCCCCCACUUCUGAAAGGUUGACCUCGGAUCAGGUAGGAAUACCCGCUGAACUUAA